This 253-nucleotide ribosomal RNA is filed under the name uncultured bacterium. RNAcentral's name for it is "partial 16S ribosomal RNA". It matches the Rfam family "Bacterial small subunit ribosomal RNA", at positions 524 to 776 of the family's 1533-position model. The record is from RNAcentral.
UACGUAGGGUGCAAGCGUUGUCCGGAAUUAUUGGGCGUAAAGAGCUCGUAGGCGGUUCGUCACGUCGGCUGUGAAAUCCCGAGGCUCAACCUCGGGUCUGCAGUCGAUACGGGCGGACUGGAGUACUGCAGGGGAGACUGGAAUUCCUGGUGUAGCGGUGAAAUGCGCAGAUAUCAGGAGGAACACCGGUGGCGAAGGCAGCUCUCUGGGACGGUACUGACGCUGAGACGCGAAAGCGUGGGGAGCGAACAGG